AGGUUUGACCUCGGAU
This 16-nucleotide ribosomal RNA is filed under the name Tuber sinoaestivum. RNAcentral's name for it is "partial 28S ribosomal RNA". Lineage: Eukaryota; Fungi; Ascomycota; Pezizomycetes; Pezizales; Tuberaceae. The record is from RNAcentral.